CAGCAGCCACGGGAAUACGUAGGGUGCGAGCGUUAAUCGGAAUUACUGGGCGUAAAGCGUGCGCAGGCGGUUUUGUAAGACAGGCGUGAAAUCCCCGGGCUCAACCUGGGAAUGGCGCUUGUGACUGCAAAGCUAGAGUGCGGCAGAGGGGGAUGGAAUUCCGCGUGUAGCAGUGAAAUGCGUAGAUAUGCGGAGGAACACCGAUGGCGAAGGCAAUCCCCUGGGCCUGCACUGACGCUCAUGCACGAAAGCGUGGGGAGCAAACAGGAUUAGAUACCCCGUAGUCCCUGUCUCUUAUACC
Molecule: ribosomal RNA, 301 nt
Filed under: uncultured bacterium
Lineage: Bacteria
Description: partial 16S ribosomal RNA
Rfam family: Bacterial small subunit ribosomal RNA
Source: RNAcentral